This 205-nucleotide unclassified non-coding RNA is filed under the name Hevea brasiliensis (rubber tree). Lineage: Eukaryota; Viridiplantae; Streptophyta; Magnoliopsida; Malpighiales; Euphorbiaceae. The record is from RNAcentral.
AUAUUUAGAUGUGGGACUUUUGACAUUCCCCUUCAAGUGGCAAUCGUUUUGAUUGACACUUGAAACUUGAAAUUCUUCUCCUAAAACCUUGAAUUGAGGCAGCGGCAAUAUCAAGAACCUUAGCACUUGAAUUGAAUUGGGCUAGACCUGCUUUGAUACCAUAUUACUGAACUGAAUUGAAUGGGCGAAGGUGAAUGAGUGAGUC